CAUCUAUUAAUGAUAUAUAUUAAUAUAUAUAUAUAUUAAAAAAAUAAUAAUAUUAAAUAUAUAUAUAAAUUUGAUUAGACUCACAAGCAUUGAAAAUCAAGCAUCCUACCAUUUGAGUUUGAUUUCAGUAUGAUAUAAUUAAAUGAAGUCGUGCUCAAAUUUGAACCGAGUCUAAAUAGUUUGCGAACAACACGAUUCAUUUGUAUCUCUGACCACAACCGUUG
RNAcentral lists this long non-coding RNA (224 nucleotides) under Elaeis guineensis (African oil palm). RNAcentral describes it as "long non-coding RNA (EGUI_LNC021377)". The record is from RNAcentral. Lineage: Eukaryota; Viridiplantae; Streptophyta; Magnoliopsida; Arecales; Arecaceae.